Molecule: ribosomal RNA, 747 nt
Filed under: uncultured bacterium
Lineage: Bacteria
Description: bacterial SSU rRNA
Rfam family: Bacterial small subunit ribosomal RNA
Source: RNAcentral
ACGCUGGCGGCAGGCCUAACACAUGCAAGUCGAGCGGCAGCACGGGUACUUGUACCUGGUGGCGAGCGGCGGACGGGUGAGUAAUGCCUAGGAAUCUGCCUGGUAGUGGGGGAUAACGUUCGGAAACGGACGCUAAUACCGCAUACGUCCUACGGGAGAAAGUGGGGGAUCUUCGGACCUCACGCUAUCAGAUGAGCCUAGGUCGGAUUAGCUAGUUGGUGAGGUAAUGGCUCACCAAGGCGACGAUCCGUAACUGGUCUGAGAGGAUGAUCAGUCACACUGGAACUGAGACACGGUCCAGACUCCUACGGGAGGCAGCAGUGGGGAAUAUUGGACAAUGGGCGAAAGCCUGAUCCAGCCAUGCCGCGUGUGUGAAGAAGGUCUUCGGAUUGUAAAGCACUUUAAGUUGGGAGGAAGGGCAGUAAAUUAAUACUUUGCUGUUUUGACGUUACCGACAGAAUAAGCACCGGCUAACUCUGUGCCAGCAGCCGCGGUAAUACAGAGGGUGCAAGCGUUAAUCGGAAUUACUGGGCGUAAAGCGCGCGUAGGUGGUUUGUUAAGUUGAAUGUGAAAUCCCCGGGCUCAACCUGGGAACUGCAUCCAAAACUGGCAAGCUAGAGUAUGGUAGAGGGUGGUGGAAUUUCCUGUGUAGCGGUGAAAUGCGUAGAUAUAGGAAGGAACACCAGUGGCGAAGGCGACCACCUGGACUGAUACUGACACUGAGGUGCGAAAGCGUGGGGAGCAAAC